AUUACAACGUCUAUCUAGUUAGGUCAAUUGUUGACGGAGAUAAAUUAUUGUUAAACUUGUCUUGAAUUACUCUUACAUCUCUCUUUGCUGUCAGUUCGUUUAAAUAAGUUGUAGGAUGUACUAUAACAUUUAGUUAGUUGGAAGAUAUUUUAAAACAUGUUUUAGUAGAAUGUUACAUAUAACAGCUUUGAUUUUUUUCAGUUGAUUCUGGAAUAAUUCAAUAUGGGUAUGUGCAAAAGCAAGACGAAAGAAUUGUGCUUAAUUUUACUAAGAAUGGAACGAUUUUGAACAAGAUUCUCUGCACUAAAAAACCUAGUCCCAAAGAAGUUAAAGAAACACCAGAAUUUAGUAUGUUUAUGUAUACAGUUGUUAGUGCAGCCGCUGUUUUGGUGACUGUCAUGGUUGCGAUUUUCAUAGCGUUGAUUUGUCGAAG
Molecule: long non-coding RNA, 433 nt
Organism: Ruditapes philippinarum (Manila clam)
Lineage: Eukaryota; Metazoa; Mollusca; Bivalvia; Venerida; Veneridae
Exons: 2
Source: RefSeq, a predicted model, not a curated record